CGAAUGUCAAUGAAAGAGCGAGUAAGUUUUUGAAACUUUACAAGAGAGGAUCAUCGAGGCUGAAAAUGAUCUAAAGUUUCAUUAGCCUAAAGACACUCUGGAGAUGGACGAGUGAAAAGCCGUCCCGCGUACGAGCGUUAUUCGUAAGAGGAAAGAGAAAUCUUUCAAAAUUAGGUGGUACCGUGUAUGAAUUUCAUUCACCCUUGUU
RNAcentral lists this non-coding RNA (208 nucleotides) under Enterococcus faecium. Lineage: Bacteria; Bacillati; Bacillota; Bacilli; Lactobacillales; Enterococcaceae. The record is from RNAcentral.